AUGGAAACUACAGGCAGCAGGAGGAUGCUAGUGGAGGCAAGGCCACGCCGAGGUCGAAGGUGGCCGGGCGAGCUCGACGGAGGUCUUCCGCUGUCGGACGAAGUAGCAGCAGCAAGGCACGGUAGCGCUCGUAAAGCUGCAGGCCAGCAUGGUGGCCUCCAUAGCCGGCGGCCAUGCGGGUCACGCGAGGCAAGGCGGGCGAGCAAAAGGGCGGUCGCACGGGGUCCUGUGGAGCUCGGCGGCGGCAGUCCCAAUCCGGCGGAGAAACGACCACAAGGGAGGAGAGGCCGGUGUGGUCACGCCCACAGGACGGCGCAGUCCAACAAGACACAGCGGGGUGGCGGCCAAGCGACAAGGAGGAGGCGAACGGGGAGGGGAAGGUAG
Molecule: ribosomal RNA, 384 nt
Filed under: Triticum aestivum (bread wheat)
Lineage: Eukaryota; Viridiplantae; Streptophyta; Magnoliopsida; Poales; Poaceae
Description: partial small subunit ribosomal RNA
Source: RNAcentral